RNAcentral lists this ribosomal RNA (505 nucleotides) under uncultured bacterium. RNAcentral's name for it is "partial 16S ribosomal RNA". It matches the Rfam family "Bacterial small subunit ribosomal RNA", at positions 28 to 507 of the family's 1533-position model. The record is from RNAcentral.
GACGAACGCUGGCGGCGUGCCUAAUACAUGCAAGUAGAACGCACAGUUUAUACCGUAGCUUGCUACACCAUAGACUGUGAGUUGCGAACGGGUGAGUAACGCGUAGGUAACCUGCCUGGUAGCGGGGGAUAACUAUUGGAAACGAUAGCUAAUACCGCAUAAUAUUAAUUAUUGCAUGAUAAUUAAUUGAAAGGUGCAAUUGCACCACUACCAGAUGGACCUGCGUUGUAUUAGCUAGUAGGUGAGGUAACGGCUCACCUAGACGACGAUACAUAGCCGACCGGAGAGGGUGAUCGGCCACACUGGGACUGAGGCACGGCCCAGACUCCUACGGGAGGCAGCAGUAGGGAAUCUUCGGCAAGGGACGAAAGUCUGACCGAGCAACGCCGCGUGAGGGAAGAAGGUUGUCGGAUCGUAAAGCUCGGUUGUAAGAGAAGAACGGGUGUGAGAGUGGAAAGUUCACACUGUGACGGUAUCUUACCAGAAAGGGACGGCUAACUACGUG